Molecule: long non-coding RNA, 1174 nt
Organism: Gadus morhua (Atlantic cod)
Lineage: Eukaryota; Metazoa; Chordata; Actinopteri; Gadiformes; Gadidae
Source: Ensembl
AUUUGAUGUGGAUAUGUGUUGAUUUGGACAGCAGAGGCGGCUGCCAAGAGGUCGGGGGCUGAGCUGUGGAAAGGUCAGCUGGUCAUCACGUUCGGGUAGUACGCCGGUCAGACCUUCAGGUGGCUUGUGGAGAAUGAUGUCGGCUGGCUGGUGUGGCUGCUGUUCCAGUACUGCCAGCAGGGAGAGCAGAACGAGCUGCUGAAGUGGCAGAAGGAGCGACUGCUCCUUCGGCCACAAGGUGACUCCUCACCUGAAAGUGCUGUCGGACGCACCGUUCCCGGAGGCUCCUGCGCUGCCAACAUCCCUCCCUCCGCCAGACCGGCCUCAGGUCCAGUACCGGCUCAUCCAUCACGAGGCUGGAAAGAGACGUGGUGAGAAGCGGAGAUUAUUUGUUGAUGAGCCACAGCCUGUGACUCCCGCGAACCGACCCGUUCAGCCCACUGGGUUGUCGUCCUCCACCCGGCCGAAGCCUGCUGCGCUCACCCCCAUUCUGCCGAGGCCUUCUGCGCCCACCCACCUCCAGCCGAGGCCACCCGCUGCGUUGACCUACGGCCCACCCCCUGUGUCGGCAGCACCCAUACUGCAGGUCUUCCCCGCACAGCCACAGGCGCCCUCCGUCCUGUUUCGUGGGACAUCCUGCAGCCAGAGCUUUGUCCCUCCUGCACCAACAGUGAAGGCAUUCAUGCCUAACAAGUCCUCAAGGCCAUGUGGGGCUUGCCACAUGCCAAACUGUGGUGGACAGUGGAAGAGGUACAACCCUUUCAAGGACAAAGUGGCUGGAAGCAUUCAGAAAAUGUUUUCCUACUGUCCAUCCACUAGGAAGUCCACUACCCCUGGCUUCGACAAUGUGGUGUAUGACAACUUUGAACUCUUUAAGAGUGUCGUGGAUGCAGAGUUGGAAAGGAGGACUGUGUGUGUGUGUGUGUGUGUGUGUGUGUGUGUGUGUGUGUGUGUGUGUGUGUGUGUGAAUAACUUACCUCUGUGAUGCCACUGUUCCUGUGCCAUCUGUAAGAGAGAGAAAGAGGCUUGUUUGUGUGUGUUUGUCUCUGUCUUUGUGUGGGUUAUUAAAGUGCUUCAGCAAGCACUAUCUAUUUAUUUAUAUCGUUCAAAAAAAUGCAAAAAAACUUAUAAAAAACUUUGUAGUAUCCAUUCUGGUCUAUUUUCAAUAUCAAGG